Arsenicibacter rosenii is the source of this 98-nucleotide regulatory RNA element. It matches the Rfam family "TPP riboswitch aptamer (THI element)". From Rfam's summary of the family: Vitamin B(1) in its active form thiamin pyrophosphate (TPP) is an essential coenzyme that is synthesised by coupling of pyrimidine and thiazole moieties in bacteria. The previously detected thiamin-regulatory element, thi box was extended, resulting in a new, highly conserved RNA secondary structure, the THI element, which is widely distributed in eubacteria and also occurs in some archaea. Lineage: Bacteria; Pseudomonadati; Bacteroidota; Cytophagia; Cytophagales; Spirosomataceae. The record is from Rfam.
CUAAUCUUAAAGGGGUGCCUUAAUACAACGGGCUGAGAUUAUACCCAUCGAACCUGAUCCGGGUAAUGCCGGCGAAGGGAAAGUAGCUACGUUUCGAC